This 2504-nucleotide long non-coding RNA is filed under the name Salmo salar (Atlantic salmon). Its description in RNAcentral is "lncRNA (ENSSSAG00000084782.1)". The record is from RNAcentral. Lineage: Eukaryota; Metazoa; Chordata; Actinopteri; Salmoniformes; Salmonidae.
GUUGUUUUCCGUUUUGUCUAUGUACCUGAUGGAACUGUUGGCUGUCGUUUUUGUUAUUUUGUCUAAGUGUUAUCAUUAAAAGGAAAUAUGAGCACUUUACACGCUGUGCCUUGGUCCCCUUUAUACGACCCACGUUACAAGAACAGAAGGCCCUCCAACAUGAGAAGAUGGGAGGUGGUCUGAGUUAAGAUGGCGAAUCCAUCGGCGAGAGCAGAUGGCGGGGCCUUGGUGUUCUCAGCAGUGUUUCCUGGAGCCGCGGUAAAUGCUGUUGAUCAGGGCCUUGGUGGCUGUCUGGUUCAGAGUUCUCCUGCUAGUUGGCCGUCGGUCCGUCCCCAUCGCUGGUCUUAACGUAAGCACCCUGGUCCCCUGUACUCCAUAUUUCAGCAAGAGAAUGGUGUCUAUUCCUUCACACUGAGGACAGUGCUUUCUUUGGACCCCGGUGAUGAGAGCCGUUUCCACUCACCUCAGCACUCCAGAGGUUGAUUUAAGAAGGGUCUCAGUGAAAGGUGCAUAGACUGGAGGGUUUAGGGGCCCGGGAGCUCAGAGUAAACUAGCUGUGAAAGGCCAGACAGUCUUAUGGUAGCAGUUCCUUUUCCUUGGGACUGGAGGAUGUAUAUAUAUUUUUCUUUUAACUAUAAAGGUGUGCAGCGCUUGUUCCAUUCCAACAUAAAUGCCAUGUUGUUGAAGUCAUUUCCUCACAUAAACUACAACUCUGUACAGGCUGAGUGUUACUAAUAGUAUAUACUCCAAAUUCGACUCAGCAAUCUUUGAAGUGAAAGUAGUAUUUUGAAGUGGGACUGAGGUCAGGUGCUGUUUGUGGAAGCGGUGGGAUUGGAUGAGGUAAUGUUGAGGCUAGCUUCUGGUGCGACUGUCUGUCACCGUGUAUAAGUGCCCUUGGAUUCAAUUUCGAUGGUAUUCUUAUUCAUAACUUUGUUGCUCCCAGUGAACCCCAAACCCAUGACCAAAAUAAUAACUGUUGUUCACGUUGAGGGACAGUGGAGAAUCGAUUAAGUUAUAUGGGCCAUGAGAGAAAUAUAGCCUGAUCCUCAGGACUGUAAAAGUGUUCACAUAAGCCCAGGAAGAGAGGACUGUGAGUUCCGGAGAAGAAAUGUAUUAUUCCUAUUGGCAUUAUUGUUUUAUUUUCACUGACUUUUUUGGGAACAAUACUCUGCUGUGCCUGAAUGAUUCAUGCUUCUGACCACUGGCAUUUAGCAACAACACUAAUAUGAUAUUCCUAUGGAGGAUGGACAAGGAGUUUUUGAUAUUACAGUUCGCUAGUAAUGUGGGAAACAUUCGUGAAAUACCUGGUACAGGGGCUGAAGCUUUGAUUGGGCGGAGGGAUGGACGAGGAAGAGAGGGGGCCGGUGGUGUAACUGCACUUAUAUGUGACCUGUAUGUGGAAAAGCGUUCUCUAGUGGGAAAGCUGUCUGGAGUUGAGGAAUGGGAUCCGACGAGAGUGUGCUCGGCUAGGGACAUGACAGAAGUGAAAUGGAAGGCGUCUGCUCCGUAAUGUCACACUGCUGAUGCUGACGACCACAGCUCCCAGACAGAAUGACAGAUUUUUUUUUUUGAGUAAUAGGAGGGCAGCGAGGCAGGCAUGUGAUAUAUCUCUGGGAGGAACGGAGUAGAAAUCAACAGCUGUCACUUUGACAUAAGAAUGUAAUAUUUAGAGAGGAUUAGGGGAAGCACCGUAGGGGUCUAUGGGUGGCUCUUUGCUAAUUUCCUGCCUAGUGAGUGAGAUUAUGAUGAACUAAUUAAUCACAGUAAUAAUCAAGCCCCUCAGCAGUCAGGGGAUUUAUCAACUAAUGGAAAAACAGCCCACUACAUAGCUGUGCUACUGGCUAUGAAGAUGUUUUUUCUAAACUCCCUGCUGUCUUCUGAGGACAUGCUGCUAGUGAUGCAACCAUGUUGGAUUUAUACUGGCUUCAUCUGAAAGGGGAUGGAAGGAGGUCCUUUUGAUAUAUUUGCUUUUGAUUUUAUAGGGGCUUUUUUGUGUAAUGGACAUUUGUUCAUAGAAGGUCUUAUAUAUCUUUAAAACAAUUACCAUUAAAGUACUCACCAAACACAAAUCAAAGUCCCUUAACUUCAUAUCCAGGUGCAGAAACUCUCAAGACAAAUAUGGUUAUCAUUGGCAAGGGUAAAAUAAAACAACAACAAAAAAUAGAAUGUUGUCCAUUUCCAACCAUCCAGCAGAAAGAAGAAUGAGAGUGAACGUAUGAUAAAGGAAUUUAUAUGUUUAAAGUAACGACUAAAGAAUUCCACCCUGAAAUGUAUAAGACUGUGAAAUGUAUUAGAAGUAUAAGACUAUAAUCCAAUAAUGUAUGUGUGAGACAAGUUAAGGGUGAGAAAAGUAUGGUUGAGAAAACAAAGGACAAUUGAACUACACAUGACCUGGUUGUAACUCUGAAAAACUGAUAACAGGAAAGAGGGCCUUUUCAAGGCCCCUCUAAUCUAGGGAGGCUUAGGCUGGUAGAAAAGUGCUAAACUGUAUGUGUGGGUGGGUG